This 449-nucleotide ribosomal RNA is filed under the name uncultured bacterium. RNAcentral describes it as "bacterial SSU rRNA". It matches the Rfam family "Bacterial small subunit ribosomal RNA", at positions 340 to 783 of the family's 1533-position model. The record is from RNAcentral.
UACGGAAGGCAGCAGUGGGGAAUAUUGCACAAUGGGCGCAAGCCUGAUGCAGCCAUGCCGCGUGUAUGAAAAAGGCCUUCGGGUUGUAAAGUACUUUCAGUCGUGAGGAAGGUGUUAAGGUUAAUAACCUUAGCAAUUGACGUUAGCGACAGAAGAAGCACCGGCUAACUCCGUGCCAGCAGCCGCGGUAAUACGGAGGGUGCGAGCGUUAAUCGGAAUUACUGGGCGUAAAGGGCACGCAGGCGGUUAAUUAAGUUGGAUGUGAAAUCCCCGGGCUUAACCUGGGAAUGGCAUUCAAGACUGGUUAGCUAGAGUCUUGUAGAGGGGGUAGAAUUCCAUGUGUAGCGGUGAAAUGCGUAGAGAUGUGGAGGAUACCGGUGGCGAAGGCGGCCCCUGGACAAAGACUGACGCUCAUGUGCGAAAGCGUGGGGAGCAAACGAGGAUUAGAU